CACGGCCGCGCGGCCGCCCGCUCCAUCCUCCCUCCCUGCGCCCGGCUCAGCCCGGCCCGCCCCGCCCCGGGCGCCGCCACCGACACCGCGACACGACGAAAGCCCCGCCCCCCGCGCAGGCGCACCACCCGCUCCACCGGCGUUUCCUACUCCCGCCCCCGCUCCGCGACUAUUGGCUCCUCGCGCCGCAGCCCCCGCCGCAGUGGUGGCUGCGCACGCUAAUCACCGCCUAGCCCCGUCCCGCGAGCAGAGCCGCUUUCAGCUUUUCGAGUCGCCCAGUUCCGCCGGCCUCUCCUGUUUCCCACGGAUGGGACCUUCCGAAGGGCGCCGAAUGGGGCUCUGGAAGGGACCACUGGGAAAGCGGGGGGGGGGACCCGAGCGGAGCGCCGCGCGGCUUCCCUUGGCUCGAGUACAAUAGCGGGGCUGCGGGGCGCCUACAGAUCCCAGGCUGCGGGGCUGCGGCCGGCGCCGCGCGGCAUGCCGGGACCUGUAGUCGCGGCGGGGCGGCGGCGCCCGCUCGGGCCCCCGGCCGGGAAGGCAGGGCGCCGGGGCGGGUUUUGCGUUGUUGCCCUCUUACCGAGGGUGCCGCUGAAAGGGCCGGCGGGAGGCCUCGAGCUGCGGAAGGAGGCCGAGGCGGGACGCAGGGCUCCCGGAGGCCGAGCGGGCGGCGCCGCUGCGCUGAUGUUCAUGGAGGCUAAUGUACGGAGGACAGAAGGACACAUCAAGGAACUGGGAGAGAGAUCCAGUGCUGUGCUGAGGAAGGAGGACAGACAAUUUUCCUGUUCAAAGAUAGCUUCUUAUGUCCCCACAAGAUGCAGAAAUGUCUUUACCACUGAAGACAGUACAAUUUGGGAUAAGGACCCAGCAUAUGAAAGAACUAGCACAUGGAGUGUAAUUGCCAGGAAGCUGUUCAACAGCUCAAGGAGGAACGCCGAUAUCAGUGGGAUAUGUGAUUCCAACUGCUGGAAAUAA
This 972-nucleotide long non-coding RNA is filed under the name Apteryx haastii (Great spotted kiwi). Its description in RNAcentral is "lncRNA (ENSAHAG00000016820.1)". The record is from RNAcentral. Lineage: Eukaryota; Metazoa; Chordata; Aves; Apterygiformes; Apterygidae.